AUGGGUUUUCUAGCCACAGAGGGUCUGGGGAGGGUUUUCCUGCUAAUAACGCCAAGGUCGCGGGUUCGAUCCCCGUACGGGCCAAGCAUGAGUUCAGACGCGGUGGCAUAUCAAAGGCAAAAGGCCUUUAGGUCCCGGAGUUUUCGGUUUUGGAGCCAUCCGAAGGGGAAGGGGAGGCAUCAGUGUGCCCCCAGGUGGCCAGGAAGGCCAACAGCAACUGUGAUGGUGUGUAUGAGAACUGGACAAAGGUUCCUUUCUCCCUUCCCUUCCUUCCUUUUGGCUGCUAGAGUAAAAACAAACAAGAAACCCUUUUACAAGUACAUCAACUGUAAGAGGAGGACAAAGGAGAAUCUCCAUUCUUUACUGGAUGUGGCUGGGAAUGUGACCACAGAGGAUAAGGAAAAGGCUGAGGUUCUCAAUGCCUUCUUUACGUCUGUCUUUAAAAGUCAUCUUGGUUGUUCCCAGGGCUUCCCAGUCUCGGCUGGGGAGCAGACUGAACCCCCUGUGAUUCUUGAAGAAGCAGUCAGGGAAUUACUGCUCCAACUGGACUGUCACAAGUCCAUGGGUCCAGACGAGAUUCACCUGAGAGUGCUGAAGGAACUGGCGGAGGUGAUCGCUGAGCCUCUUUCCGUUAUCUUUCAGCGCUCUCUGCUAACGGGUGAGGUCCUGGAAGACUGGAGGCUUGCCAACAUGACUCCCAUUUACAAGAAAGGUUGUAAGGAGGAUCCGGGGAACUAUAGGCCUGUUAGCCUGACCUCGGUGCCAGGGAAGGUAAUGAAACGGAUUGUCUUGAGGGAGAUCACGCAGCAGGUGUGGGAUGACCAGGAGAUCAGACCUAGCCAGCAUGGGUUCGUGAAGGGCAGGUCCUGCUUGACCAAUCUGAUCUCCUACAAUCCUGUGACCCGUCUAAUAGAUGAAGGAAAGGCUGUUGAUGUGGUCUACUUAGACUUCAGCAAAGCCUUUGACACUGUCUCCCAUGCUAUUCUCCUACAAAAGCUGGCAGCCCGUGGAUUGGGUGGGUACACUCUCGGCUGGGUAAGGAGCUGGCUGGAGGGCCGGGCCCAGAGUGUGGUGGUAGAUGGAGUUAAAUCCAGUUGA
This 1098-nucleotide long non-coding RNA is filed under the name Coturnix japonica (Japanese quail). Its description in RNAcentral is "lncRNA (ENSCJPG00005013321.1)". Lineage: Eukaryota; Metazoa; Chordata; Aves; Galliformes; Phasianidae. The record is from RNAcentral.